GCAGGGAAUCUUGCGCAAUGGGCGAAAGCCUGACGCAGCGACACCGCGUGGGGGAAGAAGGCCCUUGGGUUGUAAACCCCUUUUCUCGGGGAAGAGAGAGGACGGUACCCGAGGAAUAAGGUUCGGCUAACUACGUGCCAGCAGCCGCGGUAAUACGUAGGAACCGAGCGUUGUCCGGAAUUACUGGGCGUAAAGAGCGCGUAGGCGGCCCGUCAAGUCUCAUGUGAAAUCUCCCGGCUCAACUGGGAGGGGUCAUGGGAAACUGGCAGGCUAGAGGGCAGUAGAGGAAAGUGGAAUUCCCGGAGUAGUGGUGAAAUGCGUAGAUACCGGGAGGAACACCAGUGGCGAAGGCGGCUUUCUGGGCUGCAACUGACGCUGAGGCGCGAGAGCGUGGGGAGCAAACCGG
RNAcentral lists this ribosomal RNA (406 nucleotides) under uncultured bacterium. RNAcentral describes it as "bacterial SSU rRNA". It matches the Rfam family "Bacterial small subunit ribosomal RNA", at positions 354 to 776 of the family's 1533-position model. The record is from RNAcentral.